This 408-nucleotide ribosomal RNA is filed under the name uncultured bacterium. RNAcentral describes it as "bacterial SSU rRNA". It matches the Rfam family "Bacterial small subunit ribosomal RNA", at positions 354 to 777 of the family's 1533-position model. The record is from RNAcentral.
GUGGGGAAUAUUGCGCAAUGGGGGGAACCCUGACGCAGCAACGCCGCGUGAAGGAAGACGGUUUUCGGAUUGUAAACUUCAGCAAGCAGGGAAGAAAGAAAUGACGGUACCUGAACAAAAGCCACGGCUAACUACGUGCCAGCAGCCGCGGUAAUACGUAGGUGGCAAGCGUUGUCCGGAUUUACUGGGUGUAAAGGGCGCGUAGGCGGGCGAGUAAGUCAGACGUGAAAUACCGGGGCUCAACCCCGGGGCUGCGUUUGAAACUGCUUGUCUUGAGUGCCGGAGAGGAAAGCGGAAUUCCUAGUGUAGCGGUGAAAUGCGUAGAUAUUAGGAGGAACACCAGUGGCGAAGGCGGCUUUCUGGACGGUAACUGACGCUGAGGCGCGAAAGCGUGGGGAGCAAACAGGA